GACGAACGCUGGCGGCGUGCUUAACACAUGCAAGUCGAGCGGAAAGGCCCUGCUUUUGUGGGGUGCUCGAGUGGCGAACGGGUGAGUAACACGUGAGUAACCUGCCCUUGACUUUGGGAUAACUUCAGGAAACUGGGGCUAAUACCGGAUAGGAGCUCCUGCUGCAUGGUGGGGGUUGGAAAGUUUCGGCGGUUGGGGAUGGACUCGCGGCUUAUCAGCUUGUUGGUGAGGUAGUGGCUUACCAAGGCUUUGACGGGUAGCCGGCCUGAGAGGGUGACCGGCCACAUUGGGACUGAGAUACGGCCCAGACUCCUACGGGAGGCAGCAGUGGGGAAUAUUGCACAAUGGGCGGAAGCCUGAUGCAGCAACGCCGCGUGCGGGAUGACGGCCUUCGGGUUGUAAACCGCUUUCGCCUGUGACGAAGCGUGAGUGACGGUAAUGGGUAAAGAAGCACCGGCUAACUACGUG
This 468-nucleotide ribosomal RNA is filed under the name uncultured bacterium. RNAcentral's name for it is "partial 16S ribosomal RNA". It matches the Rfam family "Bacterial small subunit ribosomal RNA", at positions 28 to 507 of the family's 1533-position model. The record is from RNAcentral.